This 73-nucleotide transfer RNA is filed under the name Marmota monax (woodchuck). RNAcentral's name for it is "tRNA.Val". The stretch from base 8 to 65 matches the Rfam family "tRNA", at positions 8 to 63 of the family's 71-position model. Rfam says of the family: Transfer RNA (tRNA) molecules are approximately 80 nucleotides in length. Their secondary structure includes four short double-helical elements and three loops (D, anti-codon, and T loops). The record is from RNAcentral. Lineage: Eukaryota; Metazoa; Chordata; Mammalia; Rodentia; Sciuridae.
AGAGAUAUAGCUCAGUUGGUAGAGUGUUUGCCUCACAGGCACAAGGCCCUGGGUUCAAUCCCCAGCACCACAC